CCUACGGGAGGCAGCAGUGGGGAAUAUUGGACAAUGGGCGAAAGCCUGAUCCAGCAAUGCCGCGUGAGUGAUGAAGGCCUUAGGGUUGUAAAGCUCUUUUACCAGGGAUGAUAAUGACAGUACCUGGAGAAUAAGCUCCGGCUAACUCCGUGCCAGCAGCCGCGGUAAUACGGAGGGAGCUAGCGUUGUUCGGAAUUACUGGGCGUAAAGCGUGCGUAGGCGGUGAUUCAAGUCAGAGGUGAAAGCCUGGAGCUCAACUCCAGAACGGCCUUUGAAACUAGAUCGCUAGAAUUAUGGAGAGGUAAGUGGAAUUCCGAGUGUAGAGGUGAAAUUCGUAGAUAUUCGGAAGAACACCAGUGGCGAAGGCGACUUACUGGACAUAUAUUGACGCUGAGGUACGAAAGCGUGGGGAGCAAACAGGAUUAGAUACCCUGGUAGUCCACGCCGUAAACGAUGAUAACUAGCUGUUCGGGCUCUCAGAGCUUGUGUGGCGCAGCUACGACAUUAAGUUAGUCCGCCGUCGGGUAGGUACGGUCGGCGAGUAAGUUAAACGUACGUUAAAGAAGUUAGUUACGGCGUGAGACGNGCGACGGACGACGACGAGGGAGGAGG
This 612-nucleotide ribosomal RNA is filed under the name uncultured bacterium. Its description in RNAcentral is "bacterial SSU rRNA". The stretch from base 1 to 519 matches the Rfam family "Bacterial small subunit ribosomal RNA", at positions 338 to 873 of the family's 1533-position model. The record is from RNAcentral.